RNAcentral lists this ribosomal RNA (459 nucleotides) under uncultured bacterium. RNAcentral's name for it is "partial 16S ribosomal RNA". It matches the Rfam family "Bacterial small subunit ribosomal RNA", at positions 338 to 795 of the family's 1533-position model. The record is from RNAcentral.
CCUACGGGAGGCAGCAGUGAGGAAUAUUGGUCAAUGGCCGAGAGGCUGAACCAGCCAAGUCGCGUGAGGGAAGAUGGCCCUACGGGCUGUAAACCUCUUUUGUCGGGGAGCAAAGCGACCCACGUAUGGUUCAUUGAGAGUACCCGAAGAAAAAGCAUCGGCUAACUCCGUUCCAGCAGCCGCGGUAAUACGGAGGAUGCGAGCGUUAUCCGGAUUUAUUGGGUUUAAAGGGUGGCCAGGCGGAGGUGCAAGUCAGCGGUAAAAUGGCGGGGCUACACCCCGUACUGCCGUUGAAACUGCAUCCCUUGAGUGCGCGAGAGGAAAGUGGAAUGCGUGGUGUAGCGGUGAAAUGCAUAGAUAUCACGAAGAACUCCGAUUGCGAAGGCAGCAUACCGGCGCGCAACUGACGCUCAUGCACGAAAGCGUGGGUAGCGAACAGGAUUAGAUACCCCAGUAGUC